RNAcentral lists this ribosomal RNA (1039 nucleotides) under Klebsiella pneumoniae. RNAcentral describes it as "bacterial SSU rRNA". It matches the Rfam family "Bacterial small subunit ribosomal RNA", at positions 68 to 1098 of the family's 1533-position model. Lineage: Bacteria; Pseudomonadati; Pseudomonadota; Gammaproteobacteria; Enterobacterales; Enterobacteriaceae. The record is from RNAcentral.
GGUAGCACAGAGAGCUUGCUCUCGGGUGACGAGCGGCGGACGGGUGAGUAAUGUCUGGGAAACUGCCUGAUGGAGGGGGAUAACUACUGGAAACGGUAGCUAAUACCGCAUAACGUCGCAAGACCAAAGUGGGGGACCUUCGGGCCUCAUGCCAUCAGAUGUGCCCAGAUGGGAUUAGCUAGUAGGUGGGGUAACGGCUCACCUAGGCGACGAUCCCUAGCUGGUCUGAGAGGAUGACCAGCCACACUGGAACUGAGACACGGUCCAGACUCCUACGGGAGGCAGCAGUGGGGAAUAUUGCACAAUGGGCGCAAGCCUGAUGCAGCCAUGCCGCGUGUAUGAAGAAGGCCUUCGGGUUGUAAAGUACUUUCAGCGGGGAGGAAGGCGAUAAGGUUAAUAACCUUGUCGAUUGACGUUACCCGCAGAAGAAGCACCGGCUAACUCCGUGCCAGCAGCCGCGGUAAUACGGAGGGUGCAAGCGUUAAUCGGAAUUACUGGGCGUAAAGCGCACGCAGGCGGUCUGUCAAGUCGGAUGUGAAAUCCCCGGGCUCAACCUGGGAACUGCAUUCGAAACUGGCAGGCUAGAGUCUUGUAGAGGGGGGUAGAAUUCCAGGUGUAGCGGUGAAAUGCGUAGAGAUCUGGAGGAAUACCGGUGGCGAAGGCGGCCCCCUGGACAAAGACUGACGCUCAGGUGCGAAAGCGUGGGGAGCAAACAGGAUUAGAUACCCUGGUAGUCCACGCCGUAAACGAUGUCGAUUUGGAGGUUGUGCCCUUGAGGCGUGGCUUCCGGAGCUAACGCGUUAAAUCGACCGCCUGGGGAGUACGGCCGCAAGGUUAAAACUCAAAUGAAUUGACGGGGGCCCGCACAAGCGGUGGAGCAUGUGGUUUAAUUCGAUGCAACGCGAAGAACCUUACCUGGUCUUGACAUCCACAGAACUUGCCAGAGAUGGCUUGGUGCCUUCGGGAACUGUGAGACAGGUGCUGCAUGGCUGUCGUCAGCUCGUGUUGUGAAAUGUUGGGUUAAGUCCCGCAACGAGCG